This 641-nucleotide unclassified non-coding RNA is filed under the name Hevea brasiliensis (rubber tree). Lineage: Eukaryota; Viridiplantae; Streptophyta; Magnoliopsida; Malpighiales; Euphorbiaceae. The record is from RNAcentral.
ACCUAAACCCACGUUUAAAAAGUUGGCAUUUGGCCCACCAGCAGAACACUCCCAGCAAAAUUACAGACUACUGAUUGGGACAGAAAGGCCACAAUGGGUAAAAACGGAACGGGUCCAGACUCCAGAGAGCAAAGCAGGAUCAUGAACUCACUAAUCUCCUCACAGGUUACAUUCAUGAAAUAUAACAAUAAAAUCCCAAAUAAAAAAGUAAAAAAGGAAAAACGAAAAACCCCUAGAUGGGGAUUUUACAAUGAUAUCCUUAUAGACUCCUGAAAAGGGUAGGCAGAUUAAUAAGGCAGAAAUGGUAGUAUUUUGUAUUGGGUGCAUUACAUGAUAGAGCAGGCAUUUGGGUUGUCAUCACUGAACAUGGAGAUAUAUGGGUCUUCAUAUCUGGUCACAGUGCCAGUGGUUGCAGUGCUUUCCACGUUCCUGACAUAACCAGGAGGUGCCCUCUUGUCAUAAGCCUGAGCAAUGUAAGGCUGAGCCACUAAAUUGUAAGGAACGUAAGGCCAAAUCUCAGUCUUUUUUCCUGUUGACUUAGCCUUCUUCAAUACCUUGUUUGAAUCUACAUAACCAGUUACAGUAACCUUCUGCUGUUUCCUGUUUAUCUCCACCUUUUUAACUCCACUUAAUGAAGAAAG